RNAcentral lists this ribosomal RNA (810 nucleotides) under Triticum aestivum (bread wheat). Its description in RNAcentral is "partial small subunit ribosomal RNA". Lineage: Eukaryota; Viridiplantae; Streptophyta; Magnoliopsida; Poales; Poaceae. The record is from RNAcentral.
AUGUAUAAGCAGGGGGCGGCCGGAGGGGCGGGGCUGGACCGGAAGCGCAUCAGCGACGCGCUCGAUAAGCACCUGGAGAAGGCGGCCGCGUCACCCUCCACGUCGAGAGGCUCGGCGGGUGCCCGAGGCAACCACAACCGCGUCGUAGUGCCGUCCUCCAUCCCCAAGGGCCGCUGCUCCGAAGGGGAGUCUGAAUCUGACAGUGAAGCAUCAGAUGUUAGUGGCUCUGAUGGAGAAGACACCUCAUGGAUUUCAUGGUAUUGCAACCUAAGAGGGAAUGAGUUCUUCUGUGAAGUCGAUGAUGAUUACAUUCAAGAUGACUUCAAUCUUUGUGGGCUUAGCAGUCAAGUUCCAUAUUAUGAUUAUGCUCUUGAUCUCAUUUUAGAUAUUGAGUCUUCCCAUGGUGAUAUUUUCACAGAAGAACAAAAUGAGCUAGUGGAAUCAGCUGCUGAGAUGUUGUAUGGGCUAAUUCAUGCGCGAUACAUUCUGACCAGUAAAGGGUUGGCUGCUAUGCUGGAGAAAUACAAGAACUAUGACUUUGGACGAUGUCCACGGGUUUAUUGCUGUGGCCAACCAUGUCUACCAGUUGGACAAUCGGAUAUUCACCGGUCUAGUACAGUGAAGAUAUACUGUCCUAAGUGCGAAGACAUCUACUAUCCACGGUCUAAAUACCAAGGCAAUAUUGAUGGAGCCUACUUUGGGACAACAUUUCCUCACCUGUUUCUGAUGACGUACGAUCACCUCAAGCCCCAGAAGCCCUCGCAGCGCUAUGUUCCUCGCGUAUUUGGCUUCAAGCUCCACAAGCCAUGA